GCAGGGGUAGUAUAUUUGGUUAGUACAUUCCUUUCAUAAUGGAAAAAAAUGGGUUCAAUUCCCGUCUCUUGCU
Non-coding RNA from Cutaneotrichosporon spelunceum, 73 nucleotides. The record is from the annotation of a GenBank genome assembly. Lineage: Eukaryota; Fungi; Basidiomycota; Tremellomycetes; Trichosporonales; Trichosporonaceae.